Molecule: non-coding RNA, 229 nt
Organism: Vicugna pacos (alpaca)
Lineage: Eukaryota; Metazoa; Chordata; Mammalia; Artiodactyla; Camelidae
Source: RefSeq, a predicted model, not a curated record
GAUAUUCCAAAUUUUUUUUUUAAUUUUUGCCUUAAUACUUGUUUUUGUUUAUUUUAUUUCGAAUGGUCAGCCAUCACGGCCCCUCUUUUUGUCCCCCAACUUGAGAUGUAUGAAGGCUUUUGGUCCCCCUGGGAGCAGGCUGAAGUGUGGAGGCAGCCAGGGCUUACCCGUACACUGACUUGAGACCAGGUCAAUAAAGUGCACACCUUAAAGAAAAAAACAAACAAGC